AGAGUUUGAUAUGGCUCAGAACGAACGCUGGCGGCAGGCUUAACACAUGCAAGUCGAACGAGAAGCCGGACUUCGGUCUGGUGGAGAGUGGCGCACGGGUGAGUAACGCGUGGGGAUUUACCCAGCAGUACGGGAUAACAUCGGGAAACCGGUGCUAAUACCGCAUACGCCCUUCGGGGGAAAGAUUUAUCGCUGUUGGAUGAACCCGCGUAAGAUUAGAUAGUUGGUGGGGUAAUGGCCUACCAAGUCGACGAUCUUUAGCUGGUCUGAGAGGAUGAUCAGCCACACUGGAACUGAGACACGGUCCAGACUCCUACGGGAGGCAGCAGUGGGGAAUAUUGGACAAUGGGCGCAAGCCUGAUCCAGCCAUGCCGCGUGAGUGAUGAAGGCCUUAGGGUUGUAAAGCUCUUUCAUCGGUGAAGAUAAUGACGGUAACCGAAGAAGAAGCCCCGGCUAACUCCGUGCCAGCAGCCGCGGUAAUACGGAGGGGGCUAGCGUUGUUCGGAAUUACUGGGCGUAAAGCGCGCGUAGGCGGUUUUACAAGUUGGAUGUGAAAGCCCGGGGCUCAA
RNAcentral lists this ribosomal RNA (569 nucleotides) under uncultured bacterium. Its description in RNAcentral is "bacterial SSU rRNA". It matches the Rfam family "Bacterial small subunit ribosomal RNA", at positions 8 to 612 of the family's 1533-position model. The record is from RNAcentral.